Molecule: unclassified non-coding RNA, 236 nt
Filed under: uncultured Mortierella
Lineage: Eukaryota; Fungi; Mortierellomycota; Mortierellomycetes; Mortierellales; Mortierellaceae
Description: sequence contains ITS2
Source: RNAcentral
ACAACCUCAACUCCUUCUUCAUUGCGGAGAAAGAGUUGGAUUUGAGCAUUUCCACGAGGGUUCGCCUUGGAGGAUUGCUUGAAAUAUGAGGUUCGGCCGGCAGUUGCCUGGGCUACAAGCAUUUCAUACUUAAUCCCGUCAAACGGAUUAUAUCCUUUGCUGCAGCCAACAUACAGGGUAACUUUGCCAGUGUUCCGACUGAUGCAGGAAAGUUGAGAACUUUGGUUCUCUUCUAA